Molecule: long non-coding RNA, 12875 nt
Filed under: Lathyrus oleraceus (garden pea)
Lineage: Eukaryota; Viridiplantae; Streptophyta; Magnoliopsida; Fabales; Fabaceae
Description: Pisum sativum (pea) long non-coding RNA (PSAT_LNC010000)
Source: RNAcentral
ACUUCACAUUUAUAUUAUAUUAUUAAUUUCAUCCCAUAAGAAAAGGAAAAAACAUUCUCAAAUUAGAGAGCAUACAUAAACUAAAGAAUGUAUUUUUCUCUCAAUUAUCCAAGUGUUCCUGACCAUAUGUGUUUGGAAAAUGUGUGAGAAGGGUGAUAUAGCAUCGAUAAUGGUGCUCUAAGCUUACACUCCAAGGAUAUCUGCAAGAUAAAAACCCAUUUCGACAUAAUUAAUGUACAUAUUACAAGCAAAAUAUUUUAAGAUCAACCCUUGAAAGGAGCAAUGUCCUUGUUGGAGCUGUUGACCUGUGAUGAUGCAUCAUAUUUGCUAAAUAGCCUAUAAGAGGAAAUAAAUGAAAGCAAAAUAUAGCAAAUCACAUCAACAAAUGUAUUGAUAUCUGUUUCAUUUUAAUAAGUAAUUUAUCAUAUAUAUAUUAUGAGUACAACCGAUUUAUAGUAUGUACAUGACAUAAAGAUAAUUAUGAAUUCAGUUUUUAAACAUACAAUUUUGAUAUUAUGUUAUGAGUCAAGAGAAUGAAGGACACGCAAGUUCCACGAUCAAGUUAAGGUUUCGCGACCAAAACCGCUCCCGAAUCAUAGUCAACCACAUCCUCAGUUGAACCUAACUCCCCUCUGAAUUUUUCAUGGGCUAUUAUCAGCACCACCCCAAUUUCGACACUUGUCUGCACCAGAACUGGCUGAGAGACGUGAAAAGGGCUUUGCUUCAACUGGAAUCAGAAGUGAUUGCGACAACAUCGCUGUGGAGGACGAGUGUUUUUGCUGCUGGCUGAGGUUGAGGAAGAUGAAGUGGACCAAGGACAAUUGGAGUCAACGUAGACUAUUGACACCACCCCAGAUGAAUCACCACAAGUCCAGUUGAGUCUUCAUGCUCUAGUUGGGUCAGAAGUCACAUACACCCUUAGAUUAUUGGGCCAAAUCAUGGAACAUUUGGUCCACAUUUUAGUAGAUAGAGAGGAUGUUUUACCUCGUACCCCUACAUUUAUUCCUACACCCUUACAUUUUAUAAAAAUAUCAAUUUUAUUCUUAUAUAUUUUAAACUAAUUUAUUAUUUUAUUUUUAAUUUUUUUAAAAAAAUUGUGUACCGGAGGGUAUUACAAAAGAGUUUCGGUAGUCAUUUUUCAAUUUUUUUUUAUAUACCGGAAGACUUUACAAAAGAGUUUCAGUAGUCAAUUUUUGUGUACCGGAAGACUUUGCAAAAGAGUUUCGAUAGUCAACUUUCGAACAUUUUUUAAAAUAUUUUUUGUGUAUCAGAAAGACUUUGCAAAAGAGUUCCGGAAGUCAAUUUUUGUAUACCGGAAGACUUUGCAAAAGAGUUCCGAUAGUCAUUUUUCAAGUAUUUUUUAAAUAUUUUUUUUGUGUACCGAAAGACUUUGCAAAAGAGUUUCGAUAGUCAAUUUUUGUGUACCGGAAGAUUUUGCAAAAUAGUUCCGGUACUCAUUUUUCAAAUAUUUUUUUAAUUUUUUUUUUUGUAUACCGGAAGACUUUACAAAAGAGUUCCGAGUCAAUUUUUGUAUACUGGAACUCUUUUGCAAAAUCUUCCGGUAAACAAAAAAAAAAUUAAAAAAUACUACCGGAACUCUUUUGCAAACUCUUCCGGUACGCAAAAUAAAAUUUAAAAAAUAUUUAAAAAUAAAAUAAUAAAUUAGUUAAAAAUAUAUAAGGGUAAAAUUAAUACUUUUUAUAAAAUGCAGGGAUACAUAGAUAAAUAUAUGGGUAUAAAGUAAAGUUUUGAGAUAGAGAACUACCCACAACUUUAUCCAAUCGAGUGCCCUUGACACUCCCCAUUUAAACUUCACAUCCCAUAUUUAUAACACUUUUCCUGUUAUACCCUUAGAGCACUUUUACUAUUAUACCCUUUUGUAAAAAUUAAUUUUUUUGAAAUUUUUCAAUUUUUCAAUUUUUUUACUGGAAAUUUUUCAGGUAAAAAGAUAUUUCCGAUAAAAAUAUGCAAAGAUUUUAAAUUUUCAAAAAAAUGAAUUUUACAUUAUCAAAACUUUAAGUACACUAUCGGAGAUUCAAAAUUUCAGGUACAAUAUCGUAAAUUUUCUGUAGUAUUAAAAAAAUUUAAUUAAAUAUGAAUUAUCGAAAAUUUUAUUUUAUUUGAAAUUUCCGAUAUAAAAUAGAACAUCAUAAUAUUUUUUAAGUUCACGUAAAUUUUAAAAAUUCCGAUAUUACUGAAAAUUAUAAAUAUAAUAUCGAAGAUUUAGUGUGUACACGAAAUUCUGAUAUAUCUACUAAAAAUUUCGUGUUUUAAAUUUUUUUAGGAGAUAGUUUUGAGAUUAUAAAAUUAUAGAAGGUGUCAGUGGCAGGAAGAAUUCUCGCACACCGAAGCACUCAGGUUACGGUUGGGAGUGGACAAGAGCCAAAAUGCUCAUAUGUCUACUUGGGGUUGAAAACCACAAUUCAGGAUAUUUGGUAUAUUAUAGAAUUGUACAUAAGUGGUUUUGGAAGCCCAAUGGCUUAAGAAGCCAGGCCUAGUUCUAAUGGAUUACCAAACUCUCACAAUGAAAUUUUUUUCAGCAAGGCUCUUGCACUGAAUUGGAAGGUGAGACUUCUACUUACCCUAUCCCCCUUUAAUUUUCACAAAUAUUAUAAAGAGUAGUCAAGAUUAAUUAUGAAGUCUGACUCUUUUCCCUCAAAAUUUAUGAUCCAAACUUUGAACAUCUCAUCCUUCCCUUGACACCUCACACAGACCCCAAAAUACAUGAAUUACUCCAUCAGGUUGAUGACCUCUUCACUGAACCCACAAAUUUACCCCAUCAAGGCUCAAUGAUCAUCACACAAACCUUACCUCUAAUGAUAUCCCAGUCAAUUUGAUGUGAAGGACGGUCAUCGUCUUCUUCAAUGACACAUUGAUGUUCAGCCCCACAAUGGAAGUUCAUUUAAAACAUUUGGAGCAAAAUUUCCAAAUUCUAUUCCACCAACAAUUUCAUUUAAAGGUUUCCAAAUGUUCAUUUUUCCAACCUCAUAUAUCAUACUUGGCCCACAUUUUUAUGGCAGGCCUUGUGUUAGCGGAUCUAUGGAAGAUUCAAGCAGUGAUUGACUGGCCCCUUACUAAAACCGUCAAGGAAUUGCGAGGAUUUUUAGGGUAUGUUUGGAUUGGUGGUAUGGGAUGGAAUUAAAUGGAGUGGGGUGGUAACUAAUUAGAUUCCAUUGUUUGAAUUUGCAAAUAAUGGAUGGAAUGGAAUUGAAUGGAAUGGAACAUGAUGGAAUCCAUUCCAUCUAAUUCCAUCCAAAUCUCUAUUUUUUGUUCCAUCCAAUUUGGGGUGUAUGUGAUGGAAUGAGACAUUUUUAAUGAAAUAACCAAACAAUGGAGUGGGAUUUAUAUUCCAUUCCGCUCUGCUCGAUUCCGCUUCGUCAUGUUCCAUUCCGCUCCGCUCCAUUAUGUUCCAUCAAUCCAAACAUAGCCUUAAGGUUGUCUGAAGAAAUAUGCACUCAUAUGGUCAAACGAAGAACAACAGUCAUUUGAAGAAUUGAAAUGAGCUUUACCAACAACCCCUGCUUUGAUUCUACCAAACUUCCAGGAACCAUUUGUAGUGCAAAUUGAUGCUUCAGCAAAGGCAAUAGGCGUAAUGCUACUAUAUGGAGAUAGUACGAUUAAGCGAUAGAGGCAAUUAACGGUGUACGCGGGUUGGGUUGGAUCGGGUUUGGCCUAACCCGUUACCCAAUCCGUUCAAACUUCAAUGGAUUGGGUCCGUCAUCCAACCCGUAAUUUCAUUGUCGAAAUCGACUUGAACCGACCCGUUUAUUAAUGGAUUGGGUUGGGUUGGGUUCGUGGGUUGAAUUUAAAAAAUAUAUAUGAUUCUUUUUAUCGGUUUUAAAAAAAAAUUAACAUAACUCAAUAUAAUUGUACUCAUUUGUAACACUCAAGUUCAAUGAAACACAUCAUAUAAUAUCUAAUAAAAUUCAUCUACACGACAUAAUACUUUAUAAUAGUAUAAAAUUUAACAAGACACGUUAUUUCCAAAAAAUACAUAAGUUAGAAAUGAUACAAAAGAAAAUAAGAAACAACAUUUAACAAGACACGUUAUUACAUGGUCUCCCAAAGAGCAUCGUCUACGAUUGUGAUUCAGUAUGUGUCACAAAUGUUGUACAAAUUUAUUCAAAUUCAGCGGAACAUUACUUCGAAUCAAAUUGUUGUAUCACCCUUAAACUGAAGGUCACCAACGGGACCAUCGAACAAUACUUGUGUGCAUUGGCCCAGGCCAAGCCAAGCAAUUGGUUUAGUUUCUUACCAUGGGCGGAAUACCAUUAUAACAUAUAUUAUCACACUACUGCGGGUCUUACGCCCUUUCAGGUCAUGUUUGGAAAGCCUCUUCCCUCAAUACCUUCAUACACAUUUGGAUCCUCUUCAACGAAUGCUUGUGAUAUGUCGUUGGCUGAUAGAGAAGCUAUUUUAAAAUUGCUUUGAUAAAAUUUGGAGAAGGGUCAAAAACAUAUGAAUCAUUUAUGCACACGGACGUGAAGUAGAGUUUGAGAUAUGGAACUUGGCUGUGUUGCAAAGGUACGGAUAUGUACCCGAUACGGGUACUAAUACGGAAUAUGACAUUUUUAGAAAAACUAAGAUAUGGGUACGCAAGUAUAAAGCCAUAUGUGCUCCGAUUUUUCUCAGCAGAAGAUGAAUAACUUCAUUGUGCAAGGAGUUUAAAUGCAAUAGAUUUAAGUUUAGGGAUUGAAGAUCCAUAAGUUAUCCAUCAUUCCUUUGGUUUCAAGAUGAUUGAUCUUGCAACAAAUCAAAUUGGCCAAACUCUACAUCAACACUUGAAAAGCCCAUUAAAAAAAGUCUAAAAUUAUACCAUUAGAAUAAAAAUAUUGAGUUUGCGUACCCAAUAUGUACUUGUCGGAGUAUUGACUUAAAAUAAAAUUUAAAAAAAUAGGUACGGUGUUGCGUACUCAAUACGUACCUUACGAGUAAGCGUACCGGUACCCGAUCCCAGUACCGGUACUUUACCUAAAAAUGGAGUACUCAUGCAUCACAAUGGUCACCCCUUUAGAGAUCUUGGUCAUUAGAGAGGAAUUGGUUGAUGAAGAAAUUCAACACCAAAUCCUAGUGAAAUGGCAGAAACUUUCUCCUGACGACAUAUCAUGGGGAACUUAUGACACUCUGUCAUCAUACAAUUUUUACAGGCAUUAUUUUUAUCAUUUGGAGUUGUUUUUGAGUUAAUUGAGUGAAAAUCGUAGAAGAAGGAGUGAAUACUUAAAUAAGUUAAGGAUAGAGGAACAAAGAUUAUAAUUUGUAAAUUCAACAAGCAAAAGGUAAAAAGGCUACUGAAAAAAUGGUAUGUGCGGCCUCUAGCAUCGUGUACACGAUGAGGCGCGAAGGAAGAACCGUGUGCGUAAUGGAAAGCAUUGUGUGCACCAUGAUGACGUUAAUGUCCAAUCGUGGAUGUUAAUAAAUCUACCUUGUGCUAGAUGGUGCUUAGAAAUCAUGUGUUUUUACUAUUUAAAAGGUCAUAAAGUGGAUUUUAUGAGGGUUGGCAACUUUGGAGAUUGAAGUGAUGAAAAGGAACUAUGAGAGCUAAGUAAAUUAGGUUCUCCACCAUUGGAGGCCAUCAUUUUCAUAUUUUUUCAUGUACCUCUCUUUUACACUUAAUGUAUUGCUUUUCGAGACAAAUAAGUGCAGUCAUCAACAGUGAGAAUUAAGGGAUUCGAAUAAGAGCAUAUCGUUUUCUCAUUUGAUAUCUUAUUCAAGGUUUUCGUAUUUUCAAUAUAACUCUCAAGCAAACCCUAAUUUUACUUUUCAAAUAGUACAUUUGCUAAAUUUGUCAUCAAAUUUUUGACGCCAUUGUCGGAGAUUGUUGAUAAUUUUAACAAGACAAUUUGAUUUUUGCUACAUUUAAUUUUAUUAUUAUUUUUUAUUUUUAUUAUUUUAUUUGAUUUGUUUUAGAAGUUUAUUUUAAAUCUUUAUUGGCUUUAGUUGUUGUUUGUUAUAGUGCUAUUGAGGUAUCUUGUUUGUUUUUAUGUGAGGUUCGAGUUCAACAUUGAUAUCGUUGGAUUCAGAAAAAUCAAAAAUACCUUAAGAGCAAUCUGGAAAGCCAAAAGAGAAACAAAACAAGCUAAAGUGGAACUAAAAUAAGAUAUAUUGGAUAUGACAACCCCAUCGAGACAAACAAUGGGAGAUUAUUGUCGAAGGACUGAUGUUGGACAAAUUUCAUUGGGGUUUCAACCUCCUAACCUUGUCACUUUUAACAUAAAAAACCAUGUGCUUUCAGGUUUAAGAGAGAAUAUAUUCGAUGGACAAGCCAUCAGAGAUCCUUAGGGGAUGGGACAUAAUCUAAGUCAUACACAUCCUUUACCACUUAAAAUAGCACCACACUCUCUACAACCAUAACACAAGACAAACCUAACUACCCGCCUGCAAUCAAGUAGCACUGACCUCCAACAAUGCCUCUCACCUCACGUGAGUUGGACCCCUAAACAACCUCAAAUACCACCGUACAAGUAUUAUCGCCUCCAUGAGAAAACUUUCACCACUAAAAUGUGUUAUACGCCUACUAAGACCUCUAAGUCUCCUUGCCCUUGCAGGGGGAACAUGCACAUCUGUAUUGUUUGACCAAUACAUCAUCUAAAAACUUUGUUAAUUAAAUCUUCAUUCAAAAAAUUAUCCAUAAUUUUUAAAUGAUUAAAAAUGUGAAUAAAUUAUUUUUCCAUCUCCAAGAUAUUUUCCUCAAGUUUCAUCAUAAACAAUUCAUACUCAUGGAUCAAUGUGUUCAUUCUACCUCUUUUUACUUUGGUUAUACUUUUAUGGGUAACUUGAAGGAUGUUCCAUAUUUUUUUGCAUAAUUAAAGUGAGAAAGUGGGAAAAAAAACUCAUAAAUAAUGAGAGCAUUAGUACUAGUGAUAAUCAUUUUAGCUUUCAAACUAUAUCACACAUUUUCUUUAUCCUCUUUGGCCUAAAGAUCACUAGGUUUGUUUUCCACAAAGAUACAUAUGUCAUAAUACAUCCUCCUCUAUAAAUAUUUACAUAUUCUUUUUACAAUGAAUAUACCACUCUCAUUAGAAAAUAAGGGUUUGUUUUAAUGAAUCGUUUGAAAUCAUCCUACCUAUUGAAACAAUUAGCUUUAUAAUAAGAGUUAAACACCGAUGUCACUUGUCGAUCAAACGAUUUUAAACACAAAAUAAAGGUGAAUUGGGUUAUUUGGGUUUUAAAAAAAAUAUUAAAAAUUUAAAUUUAAGGUUAGUCAUUUUAAGAAAUAAGAUGUACAUAUAAAAAUAAAUAGAAAAAUCAUACGAAGAUUUAUAUUGGUUCGGUGAUGACAAUUUUGUCAUUACAUGAUUUUUAUGAGUAUUUGCGAUGAAUUCGAUGAAAUCUCAAGUUAAAGAUGAGAUAAAUAUGAAUAAGUGUGAAUAAAAUGAAGAGGUCAAAGAAAUAGAGCAAAGUCAAGAAAUCGAGAAGAAAUUGAGAAGAAACGAGCAAUUUUCAGCAUAAUUUACAUCUUGACAUCUAUCAAGUAAAUUGAUCAUAUCUGGAGUUUCGUAACUCAUUUUGACGCGCUUUUUUAAAUGAAGCUAGAAUAAAUAUCUACAUUUUGGAAUAAUCAUGCGCACGAUGAAAAGGACCGCGCGUGAAAUACAGCAUGUUCAAAAUCAUGCGCGCGAUGGAAAAGUAUCACGCGCGCGAUGGACUGUUUUCAGGGCUUUUCUGACGCGUUUUGACUGCUUCAAAAGGGGAAUUUUGGUACUUUUUCAAGGGUUCUGUAACUUUACAUGAAAAGUAACGAUUUACAACACCGUAAGACAUAUUUGGAGAGCAUUUGAAGCCAUUUUAGGCCAAUUCUUCUAGGGAAUUCUUAUGCAAACCUCUUAUUAAUAUUUGGUAUUGUAAUUUCAAUUAUCAGUAUCUAGUUCUCUCUAUGUUAGGUUAUAUUUUGAUGAACCAAUUACAAUAUUGUAGUGCAAUAUGUUGAUUUGACUUUUUAUGAAUUCUUUAAUCUAUAAUUCUAUUCAAUUGUUUCUUGUUCGUAAUACUUUUUAUGUGAGAUACUCUUUUAAUUUGAUUUUGGGCACAUAGGGAAUACUAACCAUUAAUCUAUAUGUUAGACCUAGGUAAAUUUCCAUGCUUACGAUGGUUAACUAGGGAUAAGAAACCCCAAGUAAUGUGAUCGGUAAAAUAGCAAGUGUACUAUUCGCACCAAUGUAGUUAUAAAAAGGGAGUUAUCCCGAGUAUCGAUCUCGAGGACUGCGUAGAAAGUAUCAAUUUUUAGAAUAAUUCAAUUGAACAAAAGUUCAUAUGGGGUUUGAUGAUAGUUUUCACAACUGAUAAGAAAUAAAAAUAUAAAGCGUAUAAAAACAGUUUGACCAAUAUGAGAAAUAAUGCUAAGGUCAGGUGUAUGAAUUGCUGUGUAUUCCACUUUUUCCAUAUCAUAUAAACAAUCAUUUAUUAUAAUUCAAAACAGUUUCUCUAGAUAGUUUCUCUAAUUCCUUAGCAAAAACCAUUUAACAGCAAUUUCACUCCUAAUCCUUAGUCAAUCAAGAUGUCUUGAAGAAUAUUGAUGUAUCAAAAUUUACGGUAACCAGAGUUUGAUCAUCAUUCCUAAGUGAUUAAACCGGCGUUAUUUACAACACGUUGAUAAGGGUUUGUCCGACCUAAAACCUUAACAAAAAAUCAGAAUUUCAUUUGUCCGAUAAAAUUAAGCAUUAAGCACGUUGUAUAAUAAUUUGAAUUACGAAAACAUCAAUGAUUAUAAGAACAUGGAUCAAAUAUUCAUACAGUAGCAAUUCAGGGACACCCCCUAGCAUGGGGGGUUUAGCCUCUCAUAAUAUUUAAAGAUAAAAGAUUACAAAUCAAAGACAUUACAAGUUGUUGUUGAUGAACGUUGAUCUUCAAUUUCUUCCGAUCUUGAAGAUUUGUUCUCUUCUCCAUACCUUGCUUCCUCUUUUCGUCUCUUUUCUUUUCACGAUCCAAAAAGUCCCUCUUUCAGUGCUUCCCAUCCAACUAAAUAGUUUCCAGACAACUAAAAGUAAUGCCAAAUGCCCAAAAUGCCCUCUGGAUAUCCACAGGAGUAAAACUUAGAAGAAUCAGAAUUUUUAACGAAAUGGCCAACACGGGCCGUGUCAAGCGACACUGUUGCCCGUGUUGGCUCCUCUGUAGAAGGAGAAGACACGUCCUGCUGACACGGGCCGUGUCAGGUGACACGGGCACCCGUGUCAGCCCACUGUUUUAUGGAUUCUUUGUUGGCUGGUGUGCACAUGCUAACACGGGUCGUGUCAGGUGACACGGGCACCCGUGUCAGCCCACUGUUUUAUCCGUUUUUCGCUUUUUCUUCAGCCUCUAACAUCCCUUCUUCCGGUACAUACUUGCGGACUUUUAAUCAAACUUGGAAACCAACAUUCUACACAAAAACGCAUAAAAUGCGACAAAAUGCGGAAAACUACUAAUGAAACAUAAAACAAACGGAAAUUCAAAAACUGCAAUAAGCGGAAGAAAUCACAAAAAUAAGACGUAGAAGUUACCGAUUCAUGAAGAUUUCAUGUUGGAUAGAUGAUGAAAACUGAGUGUAAAUGGUGGCCGAUCAUAAUGGUUAGUGAAUUAACGUUUUGUUGCAUCGCAUAAUCAUGCUUACGCUAGUCGACUAGGGAUAGAAAGCUUUGAGUAGUGAUUAAUGAGUUAUACCGCAAGGGAUUGGUUAUAGCGGUUUUGUUAAUUCGUCGAGGGAUUGUAGUGAUGAGACUAUUCAAGUAAGGUAUCAAACAUCAAUAAAAAUAGAGAAAUAAGAUAUUCUAUACACAACCUGACCACUUUAGUGAAUUUGUUAUAACACUUUAUUUUCCUUUCGCAAUUCAAAUCAACCCCACAUCCCCCCCCAUCCACCCACUCACCCAUCCAAUUUACUAUUUUCUAUGUAUUGUACAAUAUUGUCUUGUUAAAUUAGCAGUCCCUGUGGAUUCAAUUUUUUUUAUUACUGCGACAUUAUUGGUACCACAUUACAUGUGCUUAUAAGCUCUAUUGUUCUGUCACCAACAAAGUUAAAUUCAGCAGAGAUAUCAUUAUGAAAGAAUCAGAAGUGUGGGAUCGGAACAAGUGUCAAUCAAACUAUGGUGCAGUGUUAACACCUGAGUAAACUUCUGAAGAUAUUCCAGACUUUGAAGGAGAAUCUGCCUCUGAAGGAGAAUCUUCUCCUGAAGAUGAGUCAGAGUCUGAAGGUGACACUAAUACUGAAGUCGAGUCUGAAGGUGAAUCUGAUUCUGAUCUAGAUUUUGAUGAUGAUCCAGACUUUGGUGGUAAUCAUGCCUCUAAAGGUGGUUCAUCCUAUAAAGGCGGUCCAGCCUCUGAAGGUAAUCUAACAUUUGAUAUUGUUCCAACAUCUGAAGAAGAUUUUAAACAAGUUCAGAUACCACAAAGAAUCAGACAAAUACCAAGAAGAUUUGCAGAGUUACAUGUUGCAAGAUAUUGAGAUAGACUCUGAAGGGGAAGUCAUUCAGUGUGCCAUGUUAGUAGACUCUGGAUCAGUUAGUACUGAAGAAGCUCUCAAGAAGAAAGUGUGGCUAAAGGUCAUGAAAGAAGAACUUGAGGAUAUAAAAAGAAACAAGACCUGAGAGUUGAUGAGCUUCCAAAGAACAAGAAAGGCAUCAAUGUAAGAUGGGUUUAAAAGUUGAAACUGAAGCCAGAUGGAUCAACUGGAAAACACAAAGCAAGGUUAAUAGCUAGAGGAUUUCUACAAAAAUAUGGAUUAUAUUACUUUGAGGUGUUUGCACCUCUAGCUAGACAUGAAACAAUCAGAUUGGUGAUUGUUAUGGCUGAUAAUAAAAAUUGGUCUAUGAUACCUUUAGAUGUGAAAUCUGCAUUUCUGAGUGGUUCUUUACAAGAGGAAGUUUAUGUGUCAUAACCUCCUAGAUUUAUGAAAAAUAAUUCGGGAGGAAUGGUGUACAAGUUGCAGAAAUCCUUGUAUGGACUAAAACAAACCCCUAGAGCUUAGAAUUUGAAAACUGAUUCAUUUUUCAAGCUUCAAGGAUUCUGAAAAUGUGAGACGGAGUAUGUUGUUUAAGUUCGACAUACAUAUGAUAUCACUAUAAUUAUGGAGUAUCUCUAUGUUGAUGACAUAUUUCUAACUAUGAGUUGUUCAUAUGACAUAUCUAAGUUCAAUGAGGUGUUGAUGAAUGAGUUUGAGAUGACUGGUCUAGGAAAUAUGGUAUACUUUCUAAGGAUGAAGAUUCUUUACUCUGAUAAGGGUAUAAUUUUCCAUAGGCUGAAUAUGAAUUUGAGCUUCUUAAGAGAUUUAAGCUAAUAUAUUGCAAGUCCGCAAUCACACCUAUUGAAGUAAAUCACAAGUUGGAUUUUAAUGUUGAGAGUGAUGAUGUAGAUGCUACAACUUUUAAACUGUUGGUUGACUCAUUGAGAUGUCUCUACAAUACCAUACCUGACAUUUGUUAUGCAAUUAGAAUUGUGAGUAGGUUUAUGAACAAAUCAAAGUGGUCACAUUACCAAGUUGUUGUCAGGAUACUUAAGUAUAUUAAGGGGACUCUGAAUUAUGGAGUUUUGUUUUCUUUUGGUGUUGAAUCUGAUUCAGAGCUGAUAUGUUAUUCAUACUCUGAUUGGUGUGGAGACAAAGUUGACAUAAGAAGUACUUUUGGAUAUUUUUUCAAGUAUCCAGGAGGUCUUAUUUAUUUGUGCUCCAAGAAGCAACCAGUGUUUGUAUUGUAACCUGUGAAGCUGAGUACAUUGCAAGUGUUUUGUCAGCUUGUCAAACUGUUUGGAUUCUGAAUUUGUUGCAGGAUCUGAAGAUCAAUGUGAGCAAGCCUGUGAAGUUAAUAUUGACAACAAAUCAUCUAUAAGUCUUGCCAAGAAUCUAGUGAUGCAUGGAAGGAGCAAGCACAUUGACACAAAAUUUCAUUUUCUGAGAAAUCAAGUUCAGAGUGAAGUGCUUGAAGCUGUUCACUAUAGCACUCAGAAGCAACUUAUGGAUAUGUUGAUCAAAGCAAUCAAGACUGCACAUUUUAUCCAUUUGAUGGAUGGAAUUUGUGUUGUUGAUUUUAGCCUUGAAUAUGGAUUAAAGAUGAUGUUAAAGUGUAAUACAAAUUCAUAUUAGUUGUAAUUUAGAUUAAAUUUUAUUUAGAGUGGUUCUGAUGAUAUAAAUUAUGAAUCACAUUUCAAUUGUAACAGAUUCUGAGUCAUAAUUAAUUUUUCAAUUUUGUUAGAAAGCUAAUUACAAAUUUCUUUUCUCUCUUCCAUCAUCUUCUUCAUCUUCAAUUUUGUGCUCCAACAAUUUUUACGCCGAAUUUUUACCCAUGUUGAGUUUGCAAUCUUUAUUUCAGUUACAAUGCUUCAAGAGAAUUAAUCGAUAUAUUUUAUUCUCUCAUCUCUCUUUAUUGCCAUACAAAAUCUUCUCAUUGCAAGUUAGUUAUCCCAACAAUGUAACCAUGUCUCUUAAUUAUAAAGAAAAUAAAAGUGAAAUGCAUUAAAACAAAAAUGAUCACUGUCACCAACAAUUAUGGUUCCAUAUAAACAUUACUAUAACUUACAAGUCAUGAGCAAAACAAUCAAUUAGGCAAUAUAUCACCUCUUCAAAAUAAAGUGAUGGAAAAAAAUCUCUUUACUUAUAGCUUCUAUAAAGUUUUUUUUUUAAUUCAGAUGAAAUUUAUGUUGAUGAUCAAUACCUGAAUUUGUGUUCUAUAAGAAAGUUUAUCUUAUACUAUUUGUUUUCCUGACAUUUCCAAAGCAAACAUAUAAAUCAAAUACUUGUUUUAGUUAAACAAUAAGUUGGAAGAGAAAAAAAGCAAAGGAUAAAACAGAAAAAAAUUACCUUGACUGUCUUCAACUAUACAAACGUCAAGAAUACACCUAAGCAAUAUUCUAUAAUAGUAGGAAAUUCCUGAUGCAAAUGUAUACUAUGUCCCAAUCACAUGCAUUUCAAAUUG